RNAcentral lists this ribosomal RNA (1551 nucleotides) under Clostridioides difficile. RNAcentral describes it as "23S ribosomal RNA". It matches the Rfam family "Bacterial large subunit ribosomal RNA", at positions 1362 to 2925 of the family's 2925-position model. Lineage: Bacteria; Bacillati; Bacillota; Clostridia; Peptostreptococcales; Peptostreptococcaceae. The record is from RNAcentral.
AGGUUCGUCCGCCCUGGGUUAGUCGGGACCUAAGCUGAGGCCGAAAGGCGUAGGUGAUGGACAACAGGUUGAUAUUCCUGUACUACCGAUAACCGUUUGAGAGAAGGGAUGACACAGUAGGAUAAGCUAAGCACACUGUUGGUUAUGUGUGCCCAAGCAUUGAGGCAGUCAAAGUAGGCAAAUCCGCUUUGAUAAUGCUGGGAUGUGAUGGGGAGCGAAAUUUAGUAGCGAAGUAGCUGAUUUCACACUGUCAAGAAAAGUCUCUAUCGAGGUUAAAGGUACCCGUACCGCAAACCGACACAGGUGGGUGAGGAGAGUAUCCUAAGGCCAGCGAGAGAACUGUUGUUAAGGAACUCGGCAAAAUGACCCCGUAACUUAGGGAUAAGGGGUGCCACCAUCAGGUGGCCGCAGAGAAUAGGCCCAAGCGACUGUUUACCAAAAACAUAGGUUUCUGCUAAGUCGCAAGACGAUGUAUAGGAGCUGACGCCUGCCCGGUGCUGGAAGGUUAAGGGGAUCUGUUAGAGCAAUCGAAGCAGUGAACUUAAGCCCCAGUAAACGGCGGCCGUAACUAUAACGGUCCUAAGGUAGCGAAAUUCCUUGUCGGGUAAGUUCCGACCCGCACGAAAGGCGUAACGAUUUGGGCACUGUCUCAACAACAGACUCGGUGAAAUUGUAAUUCCGGUGAAGAUGCCGGAUACCUGCGACAGGACGGAAAGACCCCAUGGAGCUUUACUGUAGCUUGACAUUGGGUCUUGGUACUACAUGUACAGGAUAGGUGGGAGGCUUUGAAACCAGGACGCCAGUUUUGGCGGAGCCAUCCUUGGGAUACCACCCUUGUAGUACUGGGACUCUAACCAUAGGCCAUGAAUCUGGUCUUGGGACACUGUCAGGUGGGCAGUUUGACUGGGGCGGUCGCCUCCCAAAAGGUAACGGAGGCGCUCAAAGGUUCUCUCAGUACGGUCGGAAAUCGUACGUAGAGUGUAAAGGCAAAAGAGAGCUUGAUUGCAAGACAUACAGGUCGAGCAAGGAUGAAAAUCGGACUUAGUGAUCCGGUGGUUCUGCGUGGAAGGGCCAUCGCUCAACGGAUAAAAGCUACCCUGGGGAUAACAGGCUUAUCUCCCCCAAGAGUCCACAUCGACGGGGAGGUUUGGCACCUCGAUGUCGGCUCAUCACAUCCUGGGGCUGUAGUAGGUCCCAAGGGUUGGGCUGUUCGCCCAUUAAAGUGGUACGCGAGCUGGGUUCAGAACGUCGUGAGACAGUUCGGUCCCUAUCCGUCGCAGGCGUAGGAAAUUUGAGAAGACCUGUCCUUAGUACGAGAGGACCGGGAUGGACGUACCUCUGGUGUACCAGUUGUCCUGCCAAGGGCAUGGCUGGGUAGCUAUGUACGGAAUGGAUAAGCGCUGAAAGCAUCUAAGCGCGAAGCCAACUUCAAGAUAAGAUUUCCCACCGCAAGGGUAAGACCCCAGAAAGACUAUCUGGUUGAUAGGUCGAAGGUGUAAGUGCAGCAAUGUAUUUAGCUUAUCGAUACUAAUAGGUCGAGGACUUGACCAA